CGUCUUUGUCACCUCCAUCUCUCAAAUUCACAGACAGUACUUUCCUCCAUGUUUACUCUUUGCUGAGAUCUCACCAGCUUCGAUCCAUCUAACUAGUACGGCAUCGCAAUUGGCAUAAUCGAUUGGCCAUGGCUCCUCCGGCACAGUCUCAAAGAUCACCGUCGCCGUCUCAACCGUCCGGAAAAAGCGAAGUUACGGAUUUGAAAACGCAGCUCCGGCAGCUCGCGGGCAGCCGAGCUCCCGGAGUGGACGAUUCUAAGAGGGAGCUCUUCAAGAAGGUCAUUUCCUACAUGACGAUUGGCAUCGAUGUGUCGUCUCUUUUCGGCGAGAUGGUCAUGUGCUCGGCGACCUCCGAUAUCGUCUUGAAGAAAAUGUGUUACCUCUAUGUAGGGAAUUAUGCCAAGGGUAAUCCAGAACUUGCUUUAUUGACGAUCAAUUUUCUUCAAAGAGAUUGUAAGGACGAGGAUCCAAUGAUUAGAGGGCUUGCUUUGAGGAGCUUGUCUUCGUUGCGAGUGGAGAAUCUGGUGGAAUAUUUGGUAGGGCCCUUGGGGUCGGGGUUGAAAGACAAUAAUAGCUAUGUGAGAAUGGUGGCUGUAAUGGGUGUUCUUAAAUUGUAUCAUAUAUCGGCUGCAACUUGUGUUGAUGCAGAUUUUCCAGCAACGCUAAAGCAUUUGAUGCUCCAUGACCCUGACACACAGGUUGUUGCAAAUUGUUUAUCCGCCCUGCAAGAAAUUUGGAGCUCAGAAGCAAGCACUUCUGAGGAGGCUUCAAGGGAGAAAGAAACUUUAAUUAGCAAGCCUGUUAUAUUCUACCUUUUGAAUCGGAUCAAGGAAUUUAGUGAAUGGGCACAGUGUCUUCUGCUUGAAUUGGUUGCUAAAUAUGUACCUGCAGAUAGCAAUGAGAUAUUUGAUAUCAUGAAUCUCCUUGAAGAUAGACUUCAGCAUGCAAAUGGCGCUGUUGUCCUUGCAACCAUCAAAGUGUUUCUACAGUUGACCUUGUCCAUGGCUGAUGUGCAUCAGGAGGUAUAUGAACGUAUUAAAGCUCCUCUGCUUACUUUAGUCAGUUCUGGAAGUCCAGAGCAAUCUUAUGCAGUUUUAAGUCACUUGCAUCUCUUGGUACUGCGUGCACCAUACAUAUUCUCCUCAGAUUACAAACACUUCUAUUGCCAGUACAAUGAACCAUCUUAUGUCAAAAAAUUGAAGCUUGAAAUGUUGACUGCAGUUGCAAAUGAGACCAAUACUUAUGAAAUUGUGACAGAAUUAUGUGAAUAUGCUGCAAAUGUUGAUAUUCCGAUUGCAAGAGAGUCAAUUCGGGCUGUUGGAAAGAUAGCACUGCAGCAGUAUGAUGUGAAUGCUAUUGUUGAUAGGCUGCUUCAGUUUUUGGAGAUGGAAAAGGACUAUGUGACUGCUGAAGCUUUGGUUCUUGUUAAAGAUCUACUGAGGAAAUACCCUCAAUGGAGUCAUGAUUGCAUCGCAGUUGUUGGGAAUAUCAGCAGCAAAAAUGUUCAAGAACCCAAGGCCAAAGCAGCUCUUAUAUGGAUGUUAGGGGAAUAUUCUCAGGACAUGAAUGAUGCUCCUUAUAUUCUAGAGGGUUUAACUGAGAAUUGGGAUGAUGAGCAUUCUGCUGAGGUUCGUUUGCAUCUCCUCACAGCAGUAAUGAAAUGUUUUUUUAAGAGACCACCUGAGACUCAGAAAGCAUUAGGAGCUGCACUAGCUGCAGGCCUUGCUGAUUUCCACCAGGAUGUUCAUGAUAGAGCCUUGUUCUACUACAGGCUAUUGCAAUACAAUGUGUCAAUUGCAGAACGUGUUGUGAAUCCUCCAAAGCAACCUGUUUCUGUCUUUGCUGAUACGCAUAGCAGUGAAAUAAAAGAUCGCAUUUUUGAUGAAUUUAAUAGCCUCUCUGUGGUGUACCAAAAGCCAUCUUACAUGUUCACUGAUAAAGAACACCGGGGACCAUUUGAGUUUUCAGAUGAGCUUGGCAAUUUAUCUAUUGGGGCAGAAGCUACAAAUGAUGUUGUACGAGCAAAUAGAGUUGAGGCAAAUGAUCAGGAUCUGCUUCUAAGUACUUCAGAGAAAGAAGAAAGCAGAGGUGCCAGUAAUAAUGGUUCUGCAUAUAGUGCUCCUUUAUAUGAUGCUUCAUCAGUGUCUGCUGCUGCUUCACAAGCACAAUCAGAUUCAUUGAUUUCAAACCUUGAAGUAGCAGGUCCUCAGGCUAGCUUUGCCAUUGAUGAUUUGCUAGGUCUUGGUCUACCAGCAGCACCUGCACCUCCUCCUUUGAAGCUUAAUUCCAGAGCUGUCCUAGAUCCGGCCACUUUUCAGCAAAAAUGGCGCCAACUACCAAUAUCUGUAUCACAGGAGCAUUCUCUAAAUCCUCAAGGAGUUGCAGCAUUGACGGCACCUCAAGCCCUCCUCCGUCACAUGCAAUCCCAUUCCAUUCAAUGCAUUGCAUCAGGUGGUCAAUCGCCCAAUUUCAAGUUUUUCUUCUUUGCUCAAAAAGCAGAAGAAUCAUCUAUUUAUCUUGUAGAAUGUAAAAUCAACACAUCAUCAGCUAAAGCACAGAUAACUAUCAAAGUUGAUGAUCAGAAUACUUCCCAGGAGUUCUCAACUUUGUUCCUAUCAGCCUUGUCCAAGUUUGGUUUUCCAUGAACCCUUGCAAGUUUUCUCGCUAGUUACCAGCAGAAAAUAGGUAUUUUUGUUUUUUUUCCUUAGUUGCCUCAGGAAGAAUGGAAAGUGAAAAAUGAAAUAAAAGAAAAGAGAAAGAAAUCCGUUGUUGGUCUGCUGUAGAUGAGUGUAUAAUGAGACUGAAAAAGAGGAGUUUUCUUUGCCUUUUAUUUUUAUAGUUCUCUAUGAGGAUGCUAUUGUUGCUUAAUUUCUACACCAUUUUGUCCAGCCUUCUUCUAUCCUGUGUGGCAAGUUUCUAGAGGGAGAAAUGUUUGUUGGCAGAGAUGCAAAUGUGGAGCUACUGUGAUUUUCUUCUUUUCGGGAAUUACCAUGAAGGGAUUAAUUUUUUUUAUUUUAUGAUUUUUUUUUGGCAGGUGUAAUCUCAUUUUAAAUUUACCUAUUGAGUGAUUAUAUCCCUACUUUCAGCAGUGUAUAAUUUAUCCAAAAUAAAAAUAAAUUUCUACCAUGGUUUCAUCAACUAUAUAGACGCUUGUCAAGAGCAUAUUUGGUGGUUGUACGGUAUUGCAGCCUAUUUGAGCUUGUUAACAAGCUUAGCAGAGCAGCACUAACGUGGGUGAUUAAGCUGCGAGGUUUUGAUUUCAGUUUGGUUUUUUGUAAUAAUCGGAAUCAUAAUUGAAUUUUAAUUUUUUUCAUUUUUUAGAAUUAGAGGAGAAAUCAAAUUUUAGUUUUAAUUUCGGUUCAAUUUUAAAUGCUUUUGGUUGCA
RNAcentral lists this unclassified non-coding RNA (3384 nucleotides) under Hevea brasiliensis (rubber tree). The record is from RNAcentral. Lineage: Eukaryota; Viridiplantae; Streptophyta; Magnoliopsida; Malpighiales; Euphorbiaceae.